This 577-nucleotide ribosomal RNA is filed under the name uncultured bacterium. RNAcentral's name for it is "bacterial SSU rRNA". It matches the Rfam family "Bacterial small subunit ribosomal RNA", at positions 338 to 916 of the family's 1533-position model. The record is from RNAcentral.
CCUACGGGAGGCAGCAGUAGGGAAUAUUGGGCAAUGGAGGCAACUCUGACCCAGCCAUGCCGCGUGCAGGAAGAAGGCGUUAUGCGUUGUAAACUGCUUUUAUAUAGGAAGAAAUAGACCUUGCGAGGUAAGUUGACGGUACUAUAUGAAUAAGCACCGGCUAACUCCGUGCCAGCAGCCGCGGUAAUACGGAGGGUGCAAGCGUUGUCCGGAUUUAUUGGGUUUAAAGGGUGCGUAGGCGGUUUAUUAAGUCAGUGGUGAAAGACGGUCGCUCAACGAUUGCAGUGCCAUUGAUACUGGUAGACUUGAGUGGGAUUGAGGUAGCUGGAAUGGAUAGUGUAGCGGUGAAAUGCAUAGAUAUUAUCCAGAACACCAAUUGCGUAGGCAAGUUACUAAGUCUCAACUGACGCUGAGGCACGAAAGUGUGGGGUAUCAAACAGGAUUAGAUACCCUGGUAGUCCACACUGUAAACGAUGAUAACUAACUGUUGGCUUUCGGGUCAGUGGUACAGAGAAAUCGUUAAGUUAUCCACCUGGGGAGUACGCCGGCAACGGUGAAACGUCAAAGGAAUUGACGG